GACGAACGCUGGCGGUGUGCUUAACACAUGCGAGUCGAACGGUAAGGCCCUUUCGGGGGUCCACGAGUGGCGAACGGGUGAGUAACACGUGAGUAACCUGCCCUCAUCUCUGGGAUAACAGUCGGAAACGGUUGCUAAUACUGGAUAUGAGCUUGCAAGGCAUCUUGUGGGUUGGAAAGAUUUUUUUUGGUUGGGGAUGGACUCGCGGCCUAUCAGCUUGUUGGUGAGGUAGUGGCUCACCAAGGCUUCGACGGGUAGCCGGCCUGAGAGGGCGACCGGCCACAUUGGGACUGAGAUACGGGCCAAACUCCUACGGGAGGCAGCAGUGGGGAAUAUUGCACAAUGGACGGAAGUCUGAUGCAGCAACGCCGCGUGCGGGAUGACGGCCUUCGGGUUGUAAACCGCUUUCAAUUGUGACGAAGCUUUUUUGUGACGGUAGCAGUAGAAGAAGCACCGGCUAACUACGUG
This 468-nucleotide ribosomal RNA is filed under the name uncultured bacterium. Its description in RNAcentral is "partial 16S ribosomal RNA". It matches the Rfam family "Bacterial small subunit ribosomal RNA", at positions 28 to 507 of the family's 1533-position model. The record is from RNAcentral.